ACGGAUUGGGUUUGGAUUAACGGGCUAAGUCCCAACCCAAACCAAUCCAAUUCGAUUUUGGAGCUCUCUUUUGGGCUCGUUUGGGCUCGCGAGCUGCUCGGGCUCGAGCUCGGGCUCGGGCUCAGAUUUAAACGGGCCUCAUUUUGGGCUCGGGCUCGGGCUCGUUUGACUAACGAGCCGAGCUCGAGCCGGGCUUUUACCGAGCCGGGCCCGAG
RNAcentral lists this long non-coding RNA (215 nucleotides) under Phoenix dactylifera (date palm). RNAcentral describes it as "long non-coding RNA (PDAC_LNC022827)". The record is from RNAcentral. Lineage: Eukaryota; Viridiplantae; Streptophyta; Magnoliopsida; Arecales; Arecaceae.